AGAGGGAUAGCUGGGUCAAAUGGUAGUUUCAUUCCCAAUUUUCCAAGAAAUCUCUAUACUGCUUUCCAUAUUGGCUGUACCAAUUUACAGUCCCACCAGCAAU
This 103-nucleotide microRNA precursor is filed under the name Marmota monax (woodchuck). Lineage: Eukaryota; Metazoa; Chordata; Mammalia; Rodentia; Sciuridae. The record is from RNAcentral.